Molecule: long non-coding RNA, 834 nt
Filed under: Mytilus galloprovincialis (Mediterranean mussel)
Lineage: Eukaryota; Metazoa; Mollusca; Bivalvia; Mytilida; Mytilidae
Source: RNAcentral
AAAAAUACCAAAAUAUGUAGCGAUGAUUGUGAUGGAAUAUUAGAUUUCAUACUUUCAAGAAGUAAUAGAAAGAAGAGUAAAAUAGAAAAGAACUGUAAUGUUGUAUGUUAUAACAUAAUGUCAAAGAGUAAUAGAAAAAAAAAAUGUAUUGGUUUGUGUUAUCAACUGGAUCAUGCAAAGAAUACAAACAUAAUUAAAGAAUGUUCUUUAAUAAACAGACCUAUACACAAUAAAUAUCUAAUAAUAUUCCAUAAAUUUGCAAUAUCGAUUCCUUUAUGUAUGUAUUAUCAUACUAGAAAGAACAGUUUUCAAACAAAAUAUAACUUCCAACAGUUUUUUACUGGAGUAAGAAUCUCAAAAUUCCAAUCUUAUGCAGCUGGGAAAAUAAAUCCAUGAAUCAACCAGUAAUCCAGCAACAUUUAACUGCAGAUCAUAAUUACAUCUGGAAAAAAACACACUGUACAUGUAAAUUCGUUCGUAUUAACUUUUGGCUUCAAUAUAUUGCAUCACUAUACAAAUACACGCACAGGUAUAGAUACUGGGAAGGAAUUUCUAGUCAAAAUCCAGCAAUAGUAUUCCUCACACACAUAUGUAUUCUUGUAAAAGUCUUCAGCAUCACUAAAUCCAAGAAUUUUAGUCUUCUUGUGAAACAAGAAAAUUUAUCCUGUUACCAAAUGGUGUCGAAUAUAUCCGAAGUACCUACAAAAAUAAAAACAAAAUUGAUACAAUCAACUUCAACUAAAACAAAACAUAGCAAUAUAAGUGCAUUAUUAGAACCAAUAGAAUUCAACAGAACAAAAACAAUUAAUAGAAAUUACAUGAGCAAACUAUGGC